Molecule: non-coding RNA, 177 nt
Filed under: Propionibacterium acidifaciens
Lineage: Bacteria; Bacillati; Actinomycetota; Actinomycetes; Propionibacteriales; Propionibacteriaceae
Source: RNAcentral
UAUGGUGCUCGCGUCAUCGAGUGCUCGCAGGAGCAGGGAAUCCGGUGCGAGGCCGGAACUGACGCGCAGCGGUAUGGGUGACGCCGGAUCGACGAUCCACUGGGCACCACGGCCUGGGAAGGACGAUCCCGGCGGGCGAGCCCGAGUCCGAAGACCGAUCGGUGACGCGUCCCGAGG